AACGAACGCUGGCGGCAGGCUUAACACAUGCAAGUCGAGCGCCCCGCAAGGGGAGCGGCAGACGGGUGAGUAACGCGUGGGAACAUACCCUUUCCUGCGGAAUAGCUCCGGGAAACUGGAAUUAAUACCGCAUACGCCCUACGGGGGAAAGAUUUAUCGGGGAAGGAUUGGCCCGCGUUGGAUUAGCUAGUUGGUGGGGUAAAGGCCUACCGAGGCGACGAUCCAUAGCUGGUCUGAGAGGAUGAUCAGCCACACUGGGACUGAGACACGGCCCAGACUCCUACGGGAGGCAGCAGUGGGGAAUAUUGGACAAUGGGGGGCAACCCUGAUCCAGCCAUGCCGCGUGAGUGAUGAAGGCCUUAGGGUUGUAAAGCUCUUUCGCCCGCGAAGAUAAUGACGGUAGCGGGAGAAGAAGCCCCGGCUAACUUCGUGCCAGCCGCCGCGGUAA
Molecule: ribosomal RNA, 448 nt
Filed under: uncultured bacterium
Lineage: Bacteria
Description: partial 16S ribosomal RNA
Rfam family: Bacterial small subunit ribosomal RNA
Source: RNAcentral